UAGGGAAUCUUCCGCAAUGGGCGAAAGCCUGACGGAGCAACGCCGCGUGAGUGAUGAAGGUCUUCGGAUCGUAAAACUCUGUUAUUAGGGAAGAACAAAUGUGUAAGUAACUAUGCAGGUCUUGAUGGUACCUAAUCAGAAAGACACGGCAAACUACGUGCCAGCAGCCGCGGUAAUACGGAGGUGGCAAGCGUUAUCCGGAAUUAUUGGGCGCAAAGCGCGCGGAGGCGGUUUUUUAAGUCUGAUGUGAAAGCCCACGGCUCAACCGUGGAAGGUCAUUGGAAACUGGAAAACCUGAGUGCAGAAGAGGAAAGUGGAAUUCCAUGUGUGGCGGUGAAAUGCGCAGAGAUAUGGAGAAACCCCAGUAGCGAAGGCGACUUUCUUGUCUGUAACUGACGCUGAUGUGCGAAAGCGUGGGGAUCAAACAGG
Molecule: ribosomal RNA, 429 nt
Filed under: Actinomycetes bacterium
Lineage: Bacteria; Bacillati; Actinomycetota; Actinomycetes
Description: Actinobacteria bacterium partial 16S ribosomal RNA
Rfam family: Bacterial small subunit ribosomal RNA
Source: RNAcentral